RNAcentral lists this ribosomal RNA (253 nucleotides) under uncultured bacterium. RNAcentral's name for it is "partial 16S ribosomal RNA". It matches the Rfam family "Bacterial small subunit ribosomal RNA", at positions 524 to 776 of the family's 1533-position model. The record is from RNAcentral.
UACGGAGGGCGCGAGCGUUACCCGGAUUUACUGGGCGUAAAGGGCGUGUAGGCGGCUUGGGGCGUCCCAUGUGAAAGGCCACGGCUCAACCGUGGAGGAGCGUGGGAUACGCUCAGGCUAGACGGUGGGAGAGGGUGGUGGAAUUCCCGGAGUAGCGGUGAAAUGCGCAGAUACCGGGAGGAACGCCGAUGGCGAAGGCAGCCACCGGGCUCACUUGUGACGUUGAGGCGCGAAAGCGUGGGGAGCAAACCGG